Molecule: ribosomal RNA, 444 nt
Filed under: Triticum aestivum (bread wheat)
Lineage: Eukaryota; Viridiplantae; Streptophyta; Magnoliopsida; Poales; Poaceae
Description: partial small subunit ribosomal RNA
Source: RNAcentral
AUGCAUUGGCACACACAUAUGACCGGGAUGACGCUGAAACAAAUAAGAACGGUGCACGCACUGAAUUGGAUUUCAGUCAACCAAAUACCGCUGAUUUCAGUCACUAAAAUGCUAAUCUCAACAAGACAAACAAAGGCUGAAUUGGACGGGAGCUCGCUGGCCGCCAGUACAGGCCCAUGCCUAGGAGCCCUGAGCCCCAAUCGGUGGCGCACUGGAUGGGAAGCUCGCUGGGCACCGACACAAGACGGAGAAACCUGGCCGCAAAGACCAUGUCGAUGCAGAGCACGUCCGCGCGGUGCACGAGCCGCACAGCUGCGCGUACUACAGAUCGACCUCGCCGCUCGCCGCCAUCCAGCGCGGCCAUCUCGCGGCGCACGAGGCCACACAGGAGCUACAUGUACAUCUCUGGUACAGAUCUACGGCGCUCCUCGCCGCCAUCCGUAG